CAAAAACAUCUUUUCUUGUUAGUUUUUGAAGUAUGGCCUGCCCACUGAGUAUUUUGAAGGGCCGCGGUAUUUUGACCGUGCAAAGGUAGCAUAAUCAUUAGUUCUUUAAUUGUGAUCUGGAAUGAAUGGCUUGACGAGAUGCAAGCUGUCUUAGGUUUGGAGAAAUUUUAGUUGAAUUUGGUUUCUGGGUUAAAAUACUCAGAUUUUUUUAUGGGACGAGAAGACCCUAUAGAGUUUUACACUUUUAUUUAUUGUUAUUGUUUAGUUUGGUUUUGUUUUUAAAUAAGUUUAUGUGUUUUGUUGGGGUGAUGGGAAGAAUUUGUUUAACUCUUCUUUAUUUUAUAUACAUUUAUAUGUGUUAUUAUGAUCCAUUUAUUUUGAUUAAAAGAUUAAAUUACCUUAGGGAUAACAGCGUUAUCUCCCUUGAGAGUUCUUAUUGGCAGGGGGGUUUGCGACCUCGAUGUUGGAUUAAGGUUGAUUUUUGGUGUAGGAGCUGAAUAUAAAUAUUGGGUCUGUUCGACCUUUAAAAUCUUACGUGAUCUGA
RNAcentral lists this ribosomal RNA (544 nucleotides) under Schedorhinotermes sp. ENT-MG133. RNAcentral's name for it is "partial small subunit ribosomal RNA". It matches the Rfam family "Bacterial large subunit ribosomal RNA", at positions 1808 to 2608 of the family's 2925-position model. The record is from RNAcentral. Lineage: Eukaryota; Metazoa; Arthropoda; Insecta; Blattodea; Rhinotermitidae.